GAUGAACGCUGGCGGCGUGCCUAAUACAUGCAAGUCGAGCGAACGGACGAGAAGCUUGCUUCUCUGAUGUUAGCGGCGGACGGGUGAGUAACACGUGGAUAACCUACCUAUAAGACUGGGAUAACUUCGGGAAACCGGAGCUAAUACCGGAUAACAUUUUGAACCGCAUGGUUCAAAAGUGAAAGACGGUCUUGCUGUCACUUAUAGAUGGAUCCGCGCUGCAUUAGCUAGUUGGUAAGGUAACGGCUUACCAAGGCAACGAUGCAUAGCCGACCUGAGAGGGUGAUCGGCCACACUGGAACUGAGACACGGUCCAGACUCCUACGGGAGGCAGCAGUAGGGAAUCUUCCGCAAUGGGCGAAAGCCUGACGGAGCAACGCCGCGUGAGUGAUGAAGGUAUUCGGAUCGUAAAACUCUGUUAUUAGGGAAGAACAUAUGUGUAAGUAACUGUGCACAUCUUGACGGUACCUAAUCAGAAAGCCACGGCUAACUACGUG
Molecule: ribosomal RNA, 497 nt
Filed under: uncultured bacterium
Lineage: Bacteria
Description: partial 16S ribosomal RNA
Rfam family: Bacterial small subunit ribosomal RNA
Source: RNAcentral